This 366-nucleotide unclassified non-coding RNA is filed under the name uncultured fungus. RNAcentral describes it as "partial contains ITS1, 5.8S rRNA and ITS2". The record is from RNAcentral. Lineage: Eukaryota; Fungi.
AACGCACAUUGCACUUCCGGGAUAUGCCCGGGAGUAUGCUUAUUUGAGUGUCCGCAAACCCCACUCAACCAAAAUAUCUUGUAAAAUGUAUUUUGUGUUGGACUCUGGGAUUGGGAGAAUGAAUGUGCACUACUAGUAGUGUACGGUUAGUCUCCCUCUCCUGAAAUGCAGGGCUUUGCGAGAUGAUACACCAAACGCAAUAUGACGCCCGCUAGGUAAUGUUGUUGUAAUGACAGCUUUAAUAUUUGCGCGGUGGAAUGUCGCGGUCGUCUCGAAAUGGCAAAUCGUUUACAACAAUAAUCAGUUGUAAACACAUAAAACCUCCAAUCGGAUCUCAAAUUAAGUAAGAAGACCUGCCGAAUUUAA